GGGCAUAUACACAUGUACAUACACAGCAUGCAUAUAUAUAUACUGUUCUCUUCUAUAUUUUCCAAUCAUGGAGUUAAUUAAUUAAGCUAAACUUGAGUUGGGUAAAGAAGAAAAUGAUGAAUCAAUUAAACCCUCUUAUUCACAAUUAACGUGGCAUGAAAAUGAAGGGCAUAUGUAUACACAACAUGCAUAUAUAUAUGUACUGUUCUCUUCUAUAUUUUCCAAUCUUGAAGUUAAUUAAUUAAGCUAAACU
This 253-nucleotide long non-coding RNA is filed under the name Carica papaya (papaya). Its description in RNAcentral is "long non-coding RNA (CPAP_LNC008954)". Lineage: Eukaryota; Viridiplantae; Streptophyta; Magnoliopsida; Brassicales; Caricaceae. The record is from RNAcentral.